This 83-nucleotide transfer RNA is filed under the name Nanobdellota archaeon. RNAcentral's name for it is "tRNA-Leu". It matches the Rfam family "tRNA". Rfam says of the family: Transfer RNA (tRNA) molecules are approximately 80 nucleotides in length. Their secondary structure includes four short double-helical elements and three loops (D, anti-codon, and T loops). Further hydrogen bonds mediate the characteristic L-shaped molecular structure. tRNAs have two regions of fundamental functional importance: the anti-codon, which is responsible for specific mRNA codon recognition, and the 3' end, to which the tRNAs corresponding amino acid is attached (by aminoacyl-tRNA synthetases). tRNAs cope with the degeneracy of the genetic code in two manners: having more than one tRNA (with a specific anti-codon) for a particular amino acid; and 'wobble' base-pairing, i.e. permitting non-standard base-pairing at the 3rd anti-codon position. Lineage: Archaea; Nanobdellati; Nanobdellota. The record is from RNAcentral.
GCGGGCGUGCCGGAGUGGUCAAACGGGACAGACUCAAGAUCUGUUGCUUAGUGCUUACAUAGGUUCGAAUCCUAUCGUCCGCA